GGCUAAAUUUAGGUAACACAAUAUUGGGUGAUGAAAGUGGAAAAUAAAACCUAAACUAACAAGGUUAUUCUUGAAGAACGUCGACUAAGAGAAUGCGAACAAGCAAAAGAGAACAAGAUUGUCUUCACUAUAUUUUGGUGUUUUCUGUUUUACUUGAGAAAUAAAAUGCUAACACAAGCAGACUUCAAAUAUAAGCUAGAAAGUAGGAAAAUGUCUAGUUCAAGAUUGUAAGAUAGGAACAGAAAUGGUUCAUAUAACUAUCAUGUAUAUCACAAGAAAUUGAGACAACAAAAAGGAACACAUGUACUGGAGCCUAUCACAGGGACAAAGAAUCAAACAUGUUCAUAUAUCUGACUUCACAAUGAACAAUUACAACACAAGAUUCGCAACUAGUAACCUGAAUGUAAAAGACAAAUAACGAACGGGCGGUUCACAUAUAUUGAAAUAGUGUAAAACAGAGUACAAUCUAUCAAGUCUCCACUCUAAUUGUUCACAGAAAUUGCACGCACGCAUGCACAGGGGGGUAGCAGCAGGAUUUGAGGGAAAAAAGGAGAGAGGAGCAGCAGCAGUAGUAGGCAGGGGCAGAGGCAAGGAGCAGCAGGGGCGAGAAGAGAAGCAGCAGGGGCGCAUCAAGAGAAAGGAGCAGCAGCAGAUGCGUUAGGGGGGGAAGAGAAGUAGCAGCAGCAAGGGGAAGAAGAAGAAGAGCAGCAGUAAGGUUAGGAGAAGAAGAAAGGUGGAGGAGCAGCAGGGAGAUGGAUGGGAGGCGGCGUGAGGUGGUGAGGCGGUGCUGGUGGCGGCGUUGAUGGAGGUGCUGGGCGGCGCGAUGAAGGUGGAGGCGCGGUGGUGGAUCGGGUUGCGGAGGCGCGGUGGAGUGGUGGAGUGGUGAUGAUGGCGCGCCCACCACGCCGGCCUGGCUGUGGCAGCGGCCGGUGUUGGAGAAGGAGGUCGGGGAGAAGGAGAGAUGUGCCAGGCCCAAUUUGGGAAUGGAUGCGUCUAGGGAUUUUGAUCCCCAUCUGAUCUGCCACUUUUAUGAUUUGGCCCUCCUCUUCUAUUCAUUUCUUCCCAAGAAGGUCCCCUGGAUACUUCUUUUCUUCUCACUGAAGUCCUUGACGUAUUUCUUUCAUGCCCUUCUCUCUUCUGGUUAGCCAUAUAGUCUGGAAUCUUGACGAUUAUAGUGCCUUUGCGCACUUUUCUGCAAAAGAAACAAGUGACAAGUAAAUGAACCCUUUAUAUGAUUCUCAUUAAAAUACGCAGUAAUUCAUAGCAAGAAUUGAUUGUCAGAUCACAACAGAUGCUAUAUUUGGGUGUCAAAUUAUAUAUAUGAAAUGUGCUUAUCAAGUUCCCCCACACUUAAAUCUUUACUUGUCCUCAAGUAAAGGCAUAAGACAUGAACUAGAUAGUGAAUAGUGAACUGACUAGAAAAUGCUAAGUGAAGUAGAUCUCCAAACAAGGCAUGCUUCAGACUUAGCUAGUGAAAAUUAAUGGUUAAGAGUGCUACAAAGCAAUAUGAUACUAGUAGACUCAAUCAUUUUAAACUUUUACAAUGAUAAAAGAAGAUCAACAAGUUCAAACGAUGAUUGUGCCAAAUGGUUCCUAAAGAGAGCAUGAUCCCAAGAGAUACUUAUUACUAGGAACACAACAUUGUGGUAGAACCACUUAUUGAAUUUGAAGAAAGCAAUGAUAAUAUUUUAUCAGUCUCACCAAAGGAACAUACCACCGAUCCCGAGAACAUGGUAUACACCUAGCUCGACCAAUUAUUAGUUUUUUUGUUAUUGUCUCCCCAAAGGAACAUACCACCGAUCCAGAGAACAUGGUAUACACCUGGUUCGACAAUUGCAUUUUUAUGAAAUGAUUAAUUAAUGUCCAAGCUAACCAAAUUUCACAUGCCACCGAUCCAGGGAACAUGACAUGCUACUGUAGGUAGAUUAGACUUAUAUUUAUUAUUACAUAUUGAACAAAGGAAUUACAAUGGCAUGAAAACAUAAGGAAACAAGAAUCAUCACUCAUCCAUGUCUGGUUCACAUGCUACCGAUCCAGAGAACAUAGCAUGCUAAUCCAUAGUGGUCAAGUGAUUGCUCUGAAUGGGAACACACUUGGCACAAAUUCAGCAUCUAACACUUGAUGAUCUAGGUGUAUCAAAGUAAAUGCAGAAAAUGAUUAAGUUUCUUAGUGUACUAGGGAUUUGAGCAACUAAUUUCAGCCAAGCAAGCAUUGUGUAGAUCACUAGUUUACAAGGCAUUCAGCAAUCAGUUCACAUAUUCACAUCAAGCACCAUAUGUCAAAGGUAAAAUACAGUGGGACAACAUUUAAGAAAUGGCUCAAGCAACCCAAAUAGCAAUUGAUUGCAACAUGUAUAAUGUAUGAUGGUAUUCAGAUUGGGGUCAUGAAACAGCUCACCGGGCUUAUGUGAUGUAGGUCUCGCACAAUCGCUCACUGAACUGCAGCUCUCUCCUUUUGCUUCCUCAUACAUGCUCCAGCUUCGCUCUUCCUCAUGUGUGCUCAUUGCUUCUCCUCAUCACCAUGCCGUGAAUCCACCAGGAUCCCAUGGGAUGUCAUCUCGAACUUGAUCAGCCCGCAAUGAAUGGUGCACAAGCGUAAACCUGAAAGAAUACUCAACAAACAAGCCAAUACAAGUGAUAGGGACAAUGCCCUCUAAGUCAUCAAUAGAGUAUCCUAUCACAUAAGCAUAUCUAUUGAGCAUAUGAUAAAUAGAAAUCAUCAACAAAUCGCAUGGUGCAUAGGCAGUAUCCAUGAUAUGGCAUAUCUUGUCGAGAAAGUUGCGAUCAUACCUGAGAUAGUUAGGAAGAAGCUUCAGGACUACCUCAAUUGAAGAUACCAAGUGAGGUGUGGUAGUAGAAAUUUCCACCGGACUCGUGUCAACAAGUGAAAUAGUAGAGCUUGGCUCCUUGACAUCUGAAUCCACCUCACCAUAAUCAACCAUGAAGCUCUCCAUCUCAGGCUCAAGUGUUGAGGAAUCAAUGCGGAUAACAUCAUCGAAGGCGAACUUCUCCAUAUCUGGCUCUAGCAGCACAUGGUCAAUAUCAACUAAAGGUGUCUCCUCAAUAUCAAAAGCAACUAACUGCAGCUCUAGCUCAUCCAUGGAAGAAUCAUCACAAUGCAAAACUGAAUCUCCAACACUAGUAUCCAUAUGAUCUGUAGCGUGCGUGUCAACUAGAAUGGUAUCAUCAUCGUCAAAUAUAAUCCAUGCAAGCUCAAUCUUGUCACACUGAGAUAGAGGUUCAGGCUUUUGUGUAAGAGAUUCUUGCUGAGAUGAAGUGACUUGUUGCAAGCAAGCAACUGAAUCAGAGGUGGGCUCCUCAUUGUACCACUGAAGUUGGUGGAAGGCUAUGUUCUCAAUCAGCAGAAAAGCAUCAUCAAGUGUCUUGUUUGUAAUAGCUCCACCGAUGCCAUAUCGACGUAAGCUCGAGUGUCCGAAGUCAAUCCUCUAUAGAAUAUCUGCAGCUCUAACCAUCUCUCGAGCCCAUGAUUAGGACAUCUCCUGAACAAGGCUUUGUACCUCUCCCAAGCAUCAUACAAACUCUCGCCUUCACGCUGAACAAAGUUGAAGAUCUCAUCUCGAAUCACGGACUGCUUGUGUAGUGGGAAAUAUUUAUCCAAGAAUGCUUGUGAUAUCUCAUUCCAACUGCAUGACCUUGAUGGCAAGGAUCGGUACCAAGCACGAGCAUCAUCACAGAGAGAUAAUGUGAACAGCAUGCACUUGAUAGCAUCUUGAGGAACUUCAUGGUACUUUACUGUAUCUGAAUACUCCAGGACUCGGAGCAAGUGCUCGUAAGGAUCUUCAGUAGGCAACCCUCCAAACUGAUGUUGUUGAACCAAAGCAAUAAGACCAGGCUUUAGCUCAAAAUUUUCCGCCUCAAAAGACAGCCAAAGUGGCCCUGUGAAAUAGCAUUGGCUGCUUGGCAUCCAAACAUCACGAAGCAUCGCCAUAUCUCCACCAAGUGUAACUAUCAAUCAACCUGUAAAUAGUUCAGAUUUCCUACGCACACUCAUAAACCGUAAACACUAGUCAGAAAGUUAGUAUCCUAAUAAGCCGAAGCAACAAAAAGUAAAAAGGUAAGAGGAGCACAUAAAUAAAUUUGACUGGAAAUUUAAACAAAAACUAUACUAAGCCUAGUCUAUAGCUUCACACCGUCGCUCGACGCUAGUCCCCGGCAACGGCGCCAAAAUGAUCAAUUGGAAGUAGAGUGGGUUUUUACACCCAAACUACGGAUGCCGUGUUCUCCACAGGGACUAGGCGACGACAACUAUGCUCGGCUAAAUCUAGGUAACACAAUAUUGGGUGAUGAAAGCGGAAAAUAAAACCUAAACUAACAAGGUUAUUCCUGAAGAUCGUCGACUAAGAGAAUGCGAACAAGCAAAAUAGAACAAGAUUGUCUUCACUAUAUUUUGGUGUUUUCUGUUUUACUUGAGAAAUAAAAUGCUAACACAAGCAGACUUCAAAUAUAAGCUAGAAAGUAGGAAAAUGUCUAGUUCAAGAUUGUAAGAUAGGAACAGAAAUGGUUCAUAUAACUAUCAUGUAUAUCACAAGAAAUUGAGACAACAAAAAGGAACACAUGUACUGGAGCCUAUCACAGGGACAAAGAAUCAAACAUGUUCAUAUAUCUGACUUCACAAUGAACAAUUACAACACAAGAUUCGCAACUAGUAACCUGAAUGUAACAGACAAAUAACGAACGGGCGGUUCACAUAUAUUGAAAUAGUGUAAAACAGAGUACAAUCUAUCAAGUCUCCACUCUAAUUGUUCACAGAAAUUGCACGCACGCACGCACGCACAGGGGGUAGCAGCAGGAUUUGAGGAAAAAAAGGAGAGAGGAGCAGCAGCAGUAGUAGGCAGGGGCGGAGGCAAGGAGCAGCAGGGGCGAGAAGAGAAGCAGCAGGGGCACAUCAAGAGAAAGGAGCAGCAGCAGAUGCGUUAGGGGAAGAAGAGAAGUAGCAGCAGCAAGGGGAAGAAGAAGAAGAAGAGCAGCAGUAAGGUUAGGAGAAGAAGAAAGGUGGAGGAGCAGCAGGGAGAUGGAUGGGAGGCGGCGUGAGGUGGUGAGGCGGCGCUGGUGGCGGCGUUGAUGGAGGUGCUGGGCGGCGCGAUGAAGGUGGAGGCGCGGUGGUGGAUCGGGUUGCGGAGGCGCGGUGGAGUGGUGAUGAUGGCGCGCCCACCACGCCGGCCUGGCCGUGGCAGCGGCCGGUGUUGGAGAAGGAGGUCGGGGAGAAGGAGAGAUGUGCCAGGCCCAAUUUGGGAAUGGAUGCGCCUAGGGAUUUUGAUCCCCAUCUGAUCUGCCACUUUUAUGAUUUGGCCCUCCUCUUCUAUUCAUUUCUUCCCAAGAAGAUCCCCUUCUUCUUUUAGCUUGCUCACUUGGAUACUUCUUUUCUUCUCACUGAAGUCCUUGACGUAUUUCUUUCAUGCCCUUCUCUCUUCUGGUUAGCCAUAUAGUCUGGAAUCUUGACGAUUAUAGUGCCUUUGCGCACUUUUCUGCAAAAGAAACAAGUGACAAGUAAAUGAACCCUUUAUAUGA
Molecule: long non-coding RNA, 5528 nt
Filed under: Triticum aestivum (bread wheat)
Lineage: Eukaryota; Viridiplantae; Streptophyta; Magnoliopsida; Poales; Poaceae
Description: long non-coding RNA (TAES_LNC013479)
Rfam family: Plant small nucleolar RNA R71 (bases 3479-3582)
Source: RNAcentral